Molecule: ribosomal RNA, 253 nt
Filed under: uncultured bacterium
Lineage: Bacteria
Description: partial 16S ribosomal RNA
Rfam family: Bacterial small subunit ribosomal RNA
Source: RNAcentral
UACGGAGGGGGCUAGCGUUGCUCGGAAUUACUGGGCGUAAAGGGCGCGUAGGCGGCCUUGUAAGUCAGGCGUGAAAGGCCCGGGCUCAACCCGGGAACCGCGCUUGAGACUGCGAGGCUCGAGUUCGGGAGAGGGCAGUGGAAUUCCCAGUGUAGAGGUGAAAUUCGUAGAUAUUGGGAAGAACACCAGUGGCGAAGGCGGCUGCCUGGACCGAUACUGACGCUAAGGCGCGAAAGCGUGGGGAGCAAACAGG